This 365-nucleotide ribosomal RNA is filed under the name unidentified archaeon. Its description in RNAcentral is "bacterial SSU rRNA". It matches the Rfam family "Archaeal small subunit ribosomal RNA", at positions 100 to 461 of the family's 1478-position model. The record is from RNAcentral.
GUAGUCAACCAUGCCCAGGGACGUGGAUAACCUCGGGAAACUGAGGAUAAACCGCGAUAGGUCACUACUUCUGGAAUGGGUAAUGACCCAAACCUAUAUGGCCCCUGGAUUGGACUGCGGCCGAUCAGUGCUGUUGGUGAGGUAAUGGCCCACCAAACCUGUAACCUGGUACUGGGCUCUGAGAGGAGGAGCCCGGAGAUGGGCACUGAGACAAGGGCCCAGGCCCUAUGGGGCGCAGCAGGCGCGAAACCUACUGCAAUAGGCGAAAGCUUGACAGGAUUACUCUGAGUGAUUUCCGUUAAGGAGAUACUUAAUGGAAACUCUAAAAAUGGUGCAGAAUAAGGGGUGGGCAAGUAUGGUGCCAG